ACUCCUACGGGAGGCAGCAGUGGGGAAUAUUGGACAAUGGGCGNAAGCCUGAUCCAGCAAUGCCGCGUGAGUGAUGAAGGCCUUAGGGUUGUAAAGCUCUUUUACCAGGGAUGAUAAUGACAGUACCUGGAGAAUAAGCUCCGGCUAACUCCGUGCCAGCAGCCGCGGUAAUACGGAGGGAGCUAGCGUUGUUCGGAAUNACUGGGCGUAAAGCGUGCGUAGGCGGUGACUCAAGUCAGAGGUGAAAGCCUGGAGCUCAACUCCAGAACUGCCUUUGAAACUAGGUCGCUAGAANNUNGGAGAGGUGAGUGGAAUUCCGAGUGUAGAGGUGAAAUUCGUAGAUAUUCGGAAGAACACCAGUGGCGAAGGCGGCUCACUGGACNANNNUUGACGCUGAGGCACGAAAGCGUGGGGAGCAAACAGGAUUAGAUACCCUGGUAGUC
Molecule: ribosomal RNA, 443 nt
Filed under: uncultured bacterium
Lineage: Bacteria
Description: partial 16S ribosomal RNA
Rfam family: Bacterial small subunit ribosomal RNA
Source: RNAcentral